CUCUCUGUGCUGCAAUGGGUCAGCGCGUUCGGCUGUUAACCGAGAGGAUGGUGGUUAGAACCCACCAAGGGACG
RNAcentral lists this transfer RNA (74 nucleotides) under Chelonia mydas (Green sea turtle). It matches the Rfam family "tRNA". From Rfam's summary of the family: Transfer RNA (tRNA) molecules are approximately 80 nucleotides in length. Their secondary structure includes four short double-helical elements and three loops (D, anti-codon, and T loops). The record is from Rfam by way of RNAcentral. Lineage: Eukaryota; Metazoa; Chordata; Testudines; Cheloniidae.